UUUUAUGGCGGCUCGAGCAGGGAGCCGCGAGGCUCGCCGGUUCUCGCAGGAGCUGCCCGGUACGCCAACCUGUUCGAGCCGCCGCCCUC
This 89-nucleotide non-coding RNA is filed under the name Variovorax sp. YR216. Lineage: Bacteria; Pseudomonadati; Pseudomonadota; Betaproteobacteria; Burkholderiales; Comamonadaceae. The record is from RNAcentral.